CCUACGGGUGGCUGCAGUGAGGAAUAUUGGUCAAUGGGCGGGAGCCUGAACCAGCCAAGCCGCGUGAAGGAAGAAGGCGCCAGGCGUCGUAAACUUCUUUUGUCGGGGAACAAAGGGCGCCACGUGUGGCGUUGUGAGUGUACCCGAAGAAAAAGCAUCGGCUAACUCCGUGCCAGCAGCCGCGGUAAUACGGAGGAUGCAAGCGUUGUCCGGAUUUACUGGGUGUAAAGGGCGUGCAGCCGGGAAGACAAGUCAGAUGUGAAAUCCCGCGGCUCAACCGCGGAACUGCAUUUGAAACUGUUUUUCUUGAGUACCGGAGAGGUCAUCGGAAUUCCUUGUGUAGCGGUGAAAUGCGUAGAUAUAAGGAAGAACACCAGUGGCGAAGGCGGAUGACUGGACGGCAACUGACGGUGAGGCGCGAAAGCGUGGGGAGCAAACAGGAUUAGAUACCCGAGUAGUC
This 460-nucleotide ribosomal RNA is filed under the name uncultured bacterium. RNAcentral's name for it is "partial 16S ribosomal RNA". It matches the Rfam family "Bacterial small subunit ribosomal RNA", at positions 338 to 795 of the family's 1533-position model. The record is from RNAcentral.